GACGAACGCUGGCGGCGUGCUUAACACAUGCAAGUCGAACGGAAAGGCCCUGCUUUUGUGGGGUGCUCGAGUGGCGAACGGGUGAGUAACACGUGAGUAACCUGCCCUUGACUUUGGGAUAACUUCAGGAAACUGGGGCUAAUACCGGAUAGGAGCUCCUGCUGCAUGGUGGGGGUUGGAAAGUUUCGGCGGUUGGGGAUGGACUCGCGGCUUAUCAGCUUGUUUGGGGGGUAGUGGCUUACCAAGGCUUUGACGGGUAGCCGGCCUGAGAGGGUGACCGGCCACAUUGGGACUGAGAUACGGCCCAGACUCCUACGGGCGGCAGCAGUGGGGAAUCUUGCACAAUGGGCGGAAGCCUGAUGCAGAAACGCCGCGUGCGGGAUGACGGCCUUCGGGUUGUAAACCGCUUUCGCAUGUGACGAAGCGUGAGUGACGGUAAUGGGUAAAGAAGCACCGGCUAACUACGUG
Molecule: ribosomal RNA, 468 nt
Filed under: uncultured bacterium
Lineage: Bacteria
Description: partial 16S ribosomal RNA
Rfam family: Bacterial small subunit ribosomal RNA
Source: RNAcentral